CCUACGGGCGGCAGCAGUAGGGAAUAUUGCUCAAUGGGGGAAACCCUGAAGCAGCAACGCCGCGUGGAGGAUGAAGGUUUUCGGAUUGUAAACUCCUUUUGUUAGAGAGGUUAAUGACGGUAUCUAACGAAUAAGCACCGUCUCACUCCGUGCCAGCAGCCGCGGUACUACGGAGGGUGCCAGCGUUACUCGGAAUCACUGGGCGUAAAGGGCGCGUAGGCGGGAUAGCAAGUCAGAUGUGAACUCCCAUGGCUUAACCAUGGAACUGCAUCUGAAACUGUUCUUCUAGAGUGUGGGAGAGGUAGGUGGAAUUCUUGGUGUAGGGGUAAAAUCCGUAGAGAUCAAGAAGAAUACUCAUUGCGAAGGCGGCCUGCUAGAACAUAACUGACGCUGAUGCGCGAAAGCGUGGGGAGCAAACAGGAUUAGAUACCCCUGUAGUC
RNAcentral lists this ribosomal RNA (440 nucleotides) under uncultured bacterium. RNAcentral describes it as "partial 16S ribosomal RNA". It matches the Rfam family "Bacterial small subunit ribosomal RNA", at positions 338 to 795 of the family's 1533-position model. The record is from RNAcentral.